UAGAGUUUGAUCAUGGCUCAGGAUGAACGCUGGCGGCGUGCAUAACACAUGCAAGUCGAACGAUGAAGCCGAAGCUUGCUUUGGUGGAUUAGUGGCGAACGGGUGAGUAACACGUGAGUAACCUGCCCCUGACUCUGGGAUAAGCCUGGGAAACUGGGUCUAAUACCGGAUAUGACUGCGGAACGCAUGUUCUGUGGUGGAAAGAUUUAUCGGUUGGGGAUGGACUCGCGGCCUAUCAGCUUGUUGGUGAGGUAAUGGCUCACCAAGGCGACGACGGGUAGCCGGCCUGAGAGGGUGACCGGCCACACUGGGACUGAGACACGGCCCAGACUCCUACGGGAGGCAGCAGUGGGGAAUAUUGCACAAUGGGCGAAAGCCUGAUGCAGCGACGCCGCGUGAGGGAUGACGGCCUUCGGGUUGUAAACCUCUUUCAGUAGGGAAGAAGCGAGAGUGACGGUACCUGCAGAAGAAGCGCCGGCUAACUACGUGCCAGCAGCCGCGGUAAU
Molecule: ribosomal RNA, 506 nt
Filed under: uncultured bacterium
Lineage: Bacteria
Description: bacterial SSU rRNA
Rfam family: Bacterial small subunit ribosomal RNA
Source: RNAcentral